UUUUAGGUUAAAUAAACUCGUAAAGUGAGGAUUAUAAGGGGAGGGUGAAAAUAGAGGAAUUGAGAAAAGAGGCAGAUCUAUGAGAAUUUAGAGAGCUAAGAAAAGUAUAAAAAAAAAUACAAAACUAAUCAAUCUUCUAACCUCAAGGUAAUGAGGGGGACUCUUUACUUAUGGGUAUUUAAGCAGUUGGAUAGUGAUGGAUCAUUAUCCUCCUAACUUUUUCCUCUUCCAUGUUGUGAUUGUUG
RNAcentral lists this long non-coding RNA (245 nucleotides) under Lathyrus oleraceus (garden pea). RNAcentral's name for it is "Pisum sativum (pea) long non-coding RNA (PSAT_LNC014649)". Lineage: Eukaryota; Viridiplantae; Streptophyta; Magnoliopsida; Fabales; Fabaceae. The record is from RNAcentral.